UACGAAGGGUGCUAGCGUUGAUCGGAAUUAUUGGGCGUAAAGGGUGUGUAGGUUGUUUAAUAAGUUGGUUGUAAAAGCCCAAGGCUCAACCUUGGAAUUGCAGUCAGUACUAUUUACUGGAGUAUGAUAUGGGAUGGCAGAAUUUCUAGUGUAGGGGUAAAAUCCGCAGAUAUUAGAAAGAAUACCAGUGGUGUAGACGGCUAUCUUGGUCAUUACUGACACUGAGACACGAAAGUGUGGGGAGCAAACA
This 250-nucleotide ribosomal RNA is filed under the name uncultured prokaryote. Its description in RNAcentral is "partial 16S ribosomal RNA". It matches the Rfam family "Bacterial small subunit ribosomal RNA", at positions 524 to 774 of the family's 1533-position model. The record is from RNAcentral.